GAUUGAACGCUGGCGGCAUGCCUUACACAUGCAAGUCGAACGCGAAAGGGGGGCAACCCCCGAGUAGAGUGGCGAACGGGUGAGUAAUACAUCGGAACGUACCCAGUAGCGGGGGAUAACCUCUCGAAAGAGAGGCUAAUACCGCAUACGACCUGAGGGUGAAAGGAGGGGGAUCGCAAGACCUCUCACUAUUGGAGCGGCCGAUGUCGGAUUAGCUAGUUGGUGGGGUAACGGCCCACCAAGGCUACGAUCCGUAGCU
RNAcentral lists this ribosomal RNA (259 nucleotides) under uncultured bacterium. Its description in RNAcentral is "partial 16S ribosomal RNA". It matches the Rfam family "Bacterial small subunit ribosomal RNA", at positions 27 to 288 of the family's 1533-position model. The record is from RNAcentral.